Molecule: ribosomal RNA, 856 nt
Filed under: Neisseria sp. 99td
Lineage: Bacteria; Pseudomonadati; Pseudomonadota; Betaproteobacteria; Neisseriales; Neisseriaceae
Description: bacterial SSU rRNA
Rfam family: Bacterial small subunit ribosomal RNA
Source: RNAcentral
CUAGAGUAUGUCAGAGGGGGGUAGAAUUCCACGUGUAGCAGUGAAAUGCGUAGAGAUGUGGAGGAAUACCGAUGGCGAAGGCAGCCCCCUGGGAUAAUACUGACGUUCAUGCUCGAAAGCGUGGGUAGCAAACAGGAUUAGAUACCCUGGUAGUCCACGCCCUAAACGAUGUCAAUUAGCUGUUGGGCAACUUGAUUGCUUAGUAGCGUAGCUAACGCGUGAAAUUGACCGCCUGGGGAGUACGGUCGCAAGAUUAAAACUCAAAGGAAUUGACGGGGACCCGCACAAGCGGUGGAUGAUGUGGAUUAAUUCGAUGCAACGCGAAGAACCUUACCUGGUCUUGACAUGUACGGAAUCCUCCGGAGACGGAGGAGUGCCUUCGGGAGCCGUAACACAGGUGCUGCAUGGCUGUCGUCAGCUCGUGUCGUGAGAUGUUGGGUUAAGUCCCGCAACGAGCGCAACCCUUGUCAUUAGUUGCCAUCAUUAAGUUGGGCACUCUAAUGAGACUGCCGGUGACAAACCGGAGGAAGGUGGGGAUGACGUCAAGUCCUCAUGGCCCUUAUGACCAGGGCUUCACACGUCAUACAAUGGUCGGUACAGAGGGUAGCCAAGCCGCGAGGUGGAGCCAAUCUCACAAAACCGAUCGUAGUCCGGAUUGCACUCUGCAACUCGAGUGCAUGAAGUCGGAAUCGCUAGUAAUCGCAGGUCAGCAUACUGCGGUGAAUACGUUCCCGGGUCUUGUACACACCGCCCGUCACACCAUGGGAGUGGGGGAUACCAGAAGUAGGUAGGGUAACCGCAAGGAGCCCGCUUACCACGGUAUGCUUCAUGACUGGGGUGAAGUCGUAACAAGGUA